Quercus lobata is the source of this 656-nucleotide long non-coding RNA. RefSeq lists it as uncharacterized. The record is from RefSeq and is a predicted model, not a curated record. NCBI's taxonomy places the organism in Eukaryota, Viridiplantae, Streptophyta, Magnoliopsida, Fagales, Fagaceae. The transcript is spliced from 4 exons.
CUUCACUGGAACGGGUAACACUAUUAAAGGAAAGGAGAUUAACAAAUGGGUUCACAAGCUUUGAAUAUGACCUUUGUUUUCGUUCAGUUCACCUCCAAGACGAGCUCGUAGUCCUCUUAGAAGGUCUCCUAUUGGUCGUAUGCGUACUCCUCUUAUUCGUACAACUGCUUGCUCCCGACGGAGAGGUCGAGUACUAGUCGGAAGACAUGGGUGGUCAUCAUCCUACUCUGGAUCACCUAGUCCAUGCAAGUUACCUCGGAGAUCAAGGAGUCGUAGCCCAAGAAGGCCCAUUAAAGGAAGAAGCAGUAGCAACAGCAGACACAGUAGUUCUCCACUGCUGCCUCGAAAACCAUAGGUAAGCACUGCCUCUCUAUAUCCCCAAAUGCCCCUUGCCCUCCCCUCCCCAACCCUCCCCUGCCUUCCCUCCUCCCAACCCCCUAAAAAAGAAUCUGAGUUAUGUAUGAUGUAAUGUUGAGGUGGUAUUGACUAUGAGAACAAGAUAUUGUGGCUGUAAUAUGCUCUCCGAAGGUAGCAUCUAGGUUUGUCUCAAUUAUGUUGGAGGCAAUGUUAAGCACUGGUUAUUUGCUGUUUAUUUUUUCAAAAAUUAUUUAAGCUAAACAUUCUGAUGGAAGAAGCAAUAUGCAAAAGCUGUAUUC